RNAcentral lists this ribosomal RNA (406 nucleotides) under uncultured bacterium. RNAcentral's name for it is "bacterial SSU rRNA". It matches the Rfam family "Bacterial small subunit ribosomal RNA", at positions 359 to 776 of the family's 1533-position model. The record is from RNAcentral.
GAAUAUUGGACAAUGGGGGAAACCCUGAUCCAGCAAUCCCGCGUGAGUGAUGAAGGCCCUCGGGUCGUAAAGCUCUUUCAGCAAGGAAGAAGGGAAACUUGACGGUACCUGCAGAAGAAGCACCGGCUAACUCCGUGCCAGCAGCCGCGGUAAUACGGAGGGUGCAAGCGUUGUUCGGAAUCAUUGGGCGUAAAGCGCGUGUAGGCGGCUUAGUAAGUCUGAUGUGAAAGCCCAGGGCUUAACCCUGGAAGUGCAUUGGAUACUGCUUGGCUAGAGGACGAGAGAGGGAAGUGGAAUUCCUGGUGUAGGGGUGAAAUCCGUAGAUAUCAGGAGGAACAUCAGAGGCGAAGGCGACUUCCUGGCUCGUAUCUGACGCUGAGACGCGAAAGCGUGGGGAGCAAACAGG